ACGGGAGGCAGCAGUGGGGAAUAUUGCACAAUGGGCGAAAGCCUGAUGCAGCGACGCCGCGUGAGGGAUGAAGGCCUUCGGGUUGUAAACCUCUUUCGGCAGGGACGAAGGGUGACUGACGGUACCUGCAGAAGAAGCGCCGGCCAACUACGUGCCAGCAGCCGCGGUAAGACGUAGGGCGCGAGCGUUGUCCGGAUUUAUUGGGCGUAAAGAGCUCGUAGGCGGCUUGUUACGUCGACUGUGAAAACCCGCGGCUCAACCGUGUGGUCUGCAGUCGAUACGGGCAGGCUAGAGUUCGGUAGGGGAGACUGGAAUUCCUGGUGUAGCGGUGAAAUGCGCAGAUAUCAGGAGGAACACCGGUGGCGAAGGCGGGUCUCUGGGCCGAUACUGACGCUGAGGAGCGAAAGCGUGGGGAGCGAACAGGAUUAGAUACCCUGGUA
RNAcentral lists this ribosomal RNA (440 nucleotides) under uncultured Actinomycetales bacterium. Its description in RNAcentral is "bacterial SSU rRNA". It matches the Rfam family "Bacterial small subunit ribosomal RNA", at positions 341 to 792 of the family's 1533-position model. Lineage: Bacteria; Bacillati; Actinomycetota; Actinomycetes; Actinomycetales. The record is from RNAcentral.